AUAUAACCUGUACUAUCACUCCAUGAGGUGAAGAGGGAUUGACUGCAGUCAGGGGUAAACUGGGGCAGGACGGUUUGCUCCCGAUGAGGCCUGGAAUCUGUACAGAGAGUGCAAGCUUUCUGUGGGAGCGGUUGGUGAAAUCAGGAUGUUGUCUGGUGUUGCAUCAAACUCCAGAUAUACAUUGCCUGUGAUGACUCCUAACAGGCCUAUAAAUGUGUGACUGGCAGUCAACCACUUCAUACUAUAAAAGAUGAAUCCAGACUAUAAAAUUCUGAAAUGAGAAGUUCUGUUGUACUAGACUUUAUAUUUUGCAGAAAUUCCUGAGCCCAUAUGAUUGGACACACCUGUCCAAACUUGGAAACUAGGUCUGCCAACCAGGAAAAGAUUAUCUCAAGUACUGUUGACUCCAAAAAUGACACUUCAUCAAUGCGCUGUUCGAGUCAUUCACCAGUGUCAUGGUCCAACCAUGGACCACGCGGUGGGAUGGAAUCCAACAGCCCCCAGGAACUGGUCUCUCCUCUGAGGGUGCAGAGCAGCAGGGCCUCUUCCUGACCCAACUGUACCUUCCAGAAAGAUAUCAGCUAUACUUUGCUUCUUUGCUAACUUCUGUUUUAGAUGUCGAUGUGUGGACCACCCUGGCCAACGUGACGAAGACAGACGUGAUAUGUGUGUCCAUGGCAACUCCCACGAGUCCUUUUUGCACCUGUCUGGUUGGAGUACCUAUUGAUAACUACUGGUGGGGAACUCUGUAUAAUGAGACCGUGUUAGCAAACUGCAACUCGAUGCUUCUACCUAAACUAUACGUCAGGUACCAAGGUUAAUGAAGGAGGAGUUGACAUUUUUCCUAGAGAUAUAUACCAGAACGCAUCAGCUGGGUGCAAUGAGACUCUGCAAAAAUGAUUUAUUCCUGGAUCUGAUGUGAUAGGUCUCCCAAAUGAUCUGUUUCUCAUUUGUGGACAAAGAGCAUGGAAAAGUAUUCCAAGAAAAGCUGUAGUAAGCCCUUGUACCUUUGGACAAUUAACCUUUUUCCAUCCUCGCAGUGUAACCUUGCCUAAACUAAGAAGAUGCAGACAUGACACACAGCGAUUUACUCCGAACUGUAACUCUGAUGUAGAGUUUUGGAAUAAGGCUGAAAGAAUAACUGCUAGUAUAAUAUCUCAGAUAGAGACUGCUCAUGCUUUGGCUUCUUUAAAUAAACUAGGAUGCUGGUUGGCUAAAGAAGCUAAUGCUACUUCUGCUGCUUUGAGUGCAUUGCUCACAGAUGUAGACUCUGUUAGACAUGCAAGUUUACAAAAUAGAGCUGCUAUUGAUUUUUUGUUGUUAGCCCAGGGACAUGACUGUCAAGAUUUUGAGGGCAUGUGCUGCAUGAAUUUCAGUGAUCAUUCUGAAUCUGUUCAUGCUAGCAUUCAGAAAUUAAAAGCCCUUACUCAACAAUUACAUGUUCAUGAUGAAUGGAACCUCUUUGGUGAUUGGAAAUGGGGAUGGCCCUGGUUACGAAAAACGUUAAUAGGUUUGUCAAUAGUUGGAUGUAUAAUAACAUGCAUAUUGUGUAUGAUUCCCUGUAUACUAACAUGUGUACGUCGAAUGAUAAACACCAAGCUAAAUGCAUUGCAAUCUCGAGUAGUUCGUUAUCAUCCUCUUGCUACCAUUGAUCACGCGGUGGUAUGUAAGGGGGGUACUUUUGAAUUAGAUGAUCAAUGGAGCAUAGAGGCAUGAGAACGAAAUCAUAUUAGGAUGUGAAACCAGUUAGAGUAUGGUACAAUGUAACUUAUGGCAGAAGCUAAUUGUAAGGUCCAUUGUGCUUUUCAACAAGUCAGCUUGUAAGGUCCAUUGUGCUUUUUAGCAAGUCAGCUUGAUAUCCCCUAUUAUCAGAGCUGAGUUCUUCCUUGGUUUUGCUACAUAUUGCAAGAUAGAUACAUCUACCCUUGAAACACAAUGGUAGAGGUCAUACAUAGGGGUGAGAAAGAUGAUGAUGGGAGGAAGGUUAUGUGGGCAGGGGUCGCUCGCCCCUUGCCCUACAAGCAGGGCAUGCGCAGACUGUUGCCAUGAGGUCAUGAUUAGGCGGUGUUUGGCUGCCAUUCAGGCAUCACCUUAUGCUACGUACUGGCCCUACGUAGUGUAAUGUGGAACUGAUAAAAAUGGGGUGUCGAGACUGCUGAGCUGAGCGAUACUCAUCCUACCACCGAGACUGUGUUGCUCCGCGGGGACGCCCGCUAAGCAUGGGUACCGACCAGCUGCUGCAGAUCCUGGCAGCCCUGGCCUGUCUGUGUGGGUAAGCACAGGUUAUUGAUAGGAAGCAACUGAGAGAACAAACUUUUUAAUAUCCUUUUAGUGUUCCUUUAACUCCCCUUUUAUGUUUAUAGUUUUUUUUUUUUUUCUUUAGUUUCCCCUUUUACUAACCAAUAUCGUGUUAUCCAUAAUAUUGUGUUAAGAUCCUUUUUUGGUAUCCCUUUUCACUAGUUAAUAUUGUAUUAAAUGCUGUUCGUAGUAUUUGUUUUAAUGCCACCCGAUAAGGUAGUUAUUUUGUAUCCUUUUUUAGUUUUUUAUUCCUCUUGCUAUUAUUACUAUUAUUAUUAUUCUCACUGUAAUAAAAGAUAUUUUGUGUGCUUGAGUA
Pseudopipra pipra is the source of this 2614-nucleotide long non-coding RNA. RefSeq lists it as uncharacterized. NCBI's taxonomy places the organism in Eukaryota, Metazoa, Chordata, Aves, Passeriformes, Pipridae. The transcript is spliced from 2 exons. The record is from RefSeq and is a predicted model, not a curated record.